Molecule: ribosomal RNA, 403 nt
Filed under: bacterium
Lineage: Bacteria
Also listed under: 2 other names
Description: partial 16S ribosomal RNA
Rfam family: Bacterial small subunit ribosomal RNA
Source: RNAcentral
AGGGGAAUAUUGCACAAUGGAGGGAACUCUGAUGCAGCGACGCCGCGUGAACGAAGAAGGCUUUCGAGUCGUAAAGUUCUUUUAUAUGGGAAGAUAAUGACGGUACCAUAAGAAAAAGCCCCGGCUAACUACGUGCCAGCAGCCGCGGUAAUACGUAGGGGGCUAGCGUUGUCCGGAAUCACUGGGCGUAAAGGGUUCGCAGGCGGAAAUGCAAGUCAGGUGUAAAAGGCAGUAGCUUAACUACUGUAAGCAUUUGAAACUGCAUAUCUUGAGAAGAGUAGAGGUAAGUGGAAUUUUUAGUGUAGCGGUGAAAUGCGUAGAUAUUAAAAAGAAUACCGGUGGCGAAGGCGACUUACUGGGCUCAUUCUGACGCUGAGGAACGAAAGCGUGGGUAGCAAACAGG